RNAcentral lists this long non-coding RNA (239 nucleotides) under Sorghum bicolor (sorghum). RNAcentral's name for it is "long non-coding RNA (SBIC_LNC013332)". The record is from RNAcentral. Lineage: Eukaryota; Viridiplantae; Streptophyta; Magnoliopsida; Poales; Poaceae.
GAACGACCACUUGGUGAGGCGAAACUCGGGCGGAGAAGAGGUUGCAGAUGGGUGAAAGCCCAAGUUUGGUUUUGAUAAUUAAUGACACCAAGUUGCUAAUGCCUUGUAUUUAAGUGAUUUGAGUUAGGCAUAGCAACACAUGUGAUGAAGGUGCAUGGUGGCAUGGAAAGGUGGCCACACGAUCACAAAGGGAUGAAGCAUGAAGUGGAGAUCAUGGUGAUAGACGAGGAGCAAAGUUA